RNAcentral lists this long non-coding RNA (417 nucleotides) under Elaeis guineensis (African oil palm). Its description in RNAcentral is "long non-coding RNA (EGUI_LNC076700)". Lineage: Eukaryota; Viridiplantae; Streptophyta; Magnoliopsida; Arecales; Arecaceae. The record is from RNAcentral.
ACUAGCCAUUUGUGUGGGAUACUAAUAUAAGGAUGUGGAUGCUAAUUUAAGAAAUGAGUCCACUGAAUUGACUCGAUGAAAGAGAAUAUCUUAUGGAAGCCUUACUUCCAUGUCAAAGAUGGUUCUCUAAGUGGGAGUUAUGCAAGUGAUCCUUAGACCUGAGAUCACCAUAAAAUUUUGUGCACAUGAAUCCAUAUUUUGGUUCAUACUCAAGCAUGACUUUAAGACAUGUAUGGGGUGCUCUGGAUUUGGUAGGAGUGUGUAUGAAAGUUAUGAGUAGGUCAACAUGGAAUUGAUCGCUCUUAGUAAUAGGAGAUCGCAUCCUGUGUAUUCUCAUUCGUAGAUGACUCAGAAAAAUUUUUUUGGCCAAAAGUAGGAAGGAGAUUAGAAAGAGUUUUUAAUGCUUCUUCGUUGGAG